Molecule: ribosomal RNA, 482 nt
Filed under: uncultured bacterium
Lineage: Bacteria
Description: bacterial SSU rRNA
Rfam family: Bacterial small subunit ribosomal RNA
Source: RNAcentral
AUUGAACGCUGGCGGCAUGCCUUACACAUGCAAGUCGAACGGCAGCACGGGAGCAAUCCUGGUGGCGAGUGGCGAACGGGUGAGUAAUAUAUCGGAACGUGCCCAAUCGUGGGGGAUAACGCAGCGAAAGCUGUGCUAAUACCGCAUACGAUCUACGGAUGAAAGCGGGGGAUUCGCAAGAACCUCGCGCGACUGGAGCGGCCGAUAUCAGAUUAGCUAGUUGGUGGGGUAAAAGCCUACCAAGGCGACGAUCAGUAGCUGGUCUGAGAGGACGACCAGCCACACUGGGACUGAGACACGGUCCAGACUCCUACGGGAGGCAGCAGUGGGGAAUUUUGGGACAAUGGGCGCAAGCCUGAUCCAGCAAUGCCGCGUGCAGGACGACUGCCCUAUGGGUUGUAAACUUCUUUUGUAUAGGGAUAAACCUACCCUCGUGAGGGUAGCUGAAGGUACUAUACGAAUAAGCACCGGCUAACUCCGUG